CCUACGGGAGGCAGCAGUGAGGAAUAUUGGUCAAUGGACGGAAGUCUGAACCAGCCAUGCCGCGUGCAGGAAGACGGCUCUAUGAGUUGUAAACUGCUUUUGUACAAGAGUAAACCUGAAUACGUGUAUUCAGCUGAGAGUACUGUACGAAUAAGGAUCGGCUAACUCCGUGCCAGCAGCCGCGGUAAUACGGAGGAUCCAAGCGUUAUCCGGAUUUAUUGGGUUUAAAGGGUGCGUAGGCGGAUGUAUAAGUUAGAGGUGAAAUGUCCGGGCUUAACUCGGGAACUGCCUUUAAUACUGUUGAUCUAGAGAGUAGAUGCGGUAGGCGGAAUGUAUGGUGUAGCGGUGAAAUGCU
RNAcentral lists this ribosomal RNA (355 nucleotides) under uncultured bacterium. Its description in RNAcentral is "partial 16S ribosomal RNA". It matches the Rfam family "Bacterial small subunit ribosomal RNA", at positions 338 to 690 of the family's 1533-position model. The record is from RNAcentral.